This 1299-nucleotide ribosomal RNA is filed under the name metagenome. Its description in RNAcentral is "bacterial LSU rRNA". It matches the Rfam family "Bacterial large subunit ribosomal RNA", at positions 1635 to 2925 of the family's 2925-position model. The record is from RNAcentral.
CACACGACCGUACCGCAAACCGACACUGGUGCGCGAGAUGAGUAUUCUCAGGCGCUUGAGAGAACUCGGGAGAAGGAACUCGGCAAAUUGACACCGUAACUUCGGAAGAAGGUGUGCCUUUAGUAGGUGAAGGGAUUUACUCCUGGAGCCCAAUGAGGUUGCAAAAAAUCGGUGGCUGCGACUGUUUAAUAAAAACACAGCACUCUGCAAACACGAAAGUGGACGUAUAGGGUGUGACGCCUGCCCGGUGCUGGAAGAUUAAGUGAUGGGGUGCAAGCUCUUGAUCGAAGUCCCAGUAAACGGCGGCCGUAACCAUAACGGUCCUAGGUAGCGAAAUUCCUUGUCGGGUAAGUUCCGACCUGCACGAAUGGCGUAACGAUGGCCACACUGUCUCCUCCCGAGACUCAGCGAAGUUGAAAUGUUUGUGAUGAUGCAAUCUCCCCGCGGAAAGACGGAAAGACCCCAUGAACCUUUACUGUAGCUUUGUAUUGGACUUUGAACGAAUCUGUGUAGGAUAGGUGGGAGGCUUUGAAGCAGGGUCGCUAGAUCUUGUGGAGCCAACGUUGAAAUACCACCCUGGUGCGUUUGAGGUUCUAACCUAGGCCCGUGAUCCGGGUCGGGGACAGUGCAUGGUAGGCAGUUUGACUGGGACGGUCUCCUCCCAAAGCGUAACGGAGGAGUUCGAAGGUACGCUAGUUACGGUCGGACAUCGUGACGAUAGUGCAAUGGCAUAAGCGUGCUUAACUGCGAGACUGACAAGUCGAGCAGAUGCGAAAGCAGGACAUAGUGAUCCGGUGGUUCUGUAUGGAAGGGCCAUCGCUCAACGGAUAAAAGGUACUCUGGGGAUAACAGGCUGAUACCGCCCAAGAGUUCAUAUCGACGGCGGUGUUUGGCACCUCGAUGUCGGCUCAUCUCAUCCUGGGGCUGUAGCCGGUCCCAAGGGUAUGGCUGUUCGCCAUUUAAAGAGGUACGUGAGCUGGGUUUAAAACGUCGUGAGACAGUUUGGUCCCUAUCUUCCGUGGGCGCUGCAGAUUUGAGGAAGCCUGCUCCUAGUACGAGAGGACCGGAGUGGACGCACCUCUGGUGUACCUGUUGUCACGCCAGUGGCAUUGCAGGGUAGCUAAGUGCGGAAGAGAUAACCGCUGAAAGCAUCUAAGCGGGAAACUCGUUUCAAGAUGAGAUCUGCCGGGGCCUUGAGCCCCCUGAAGAGUCGUUCUAGACCAGGACGUUGAUAGGUCAGGUGUGGAAGCGCAGUAAUGCGUUAAGCUAACUGAUACUAAUUGCUCGUGCGGCUUGACC